This 497-nucleotide ribosomal RNA is filed under the name uncultured bacterium. RNAcentral describes it as "partial 16S ribosomal RNA". It matches the Rfam family "Bacterial small subunit ribosomal RNA", at positions 28 to 507 of the family's 1533-position model. The record is from RNAcentral.
GAUGAACGCUGGCGGCGUGCCUAAUACAUGCCAGUCGAGCGAACGGACGAGAAGCUUGCUUCUCUGAUGUUAGCGGCGGACGGGUGAGUAACACGUGGAUAACCUACCUAUAAGACUGGGAUAACUUCGGGAAACCGGAGCUAAUACCGGAUGAUAUUUUGAACCGCAUGGUUCAAAAGUGAAAGACGGUCUUGCUGUCACUUAUAGAUGGAUCCGCGCUGCAUUAGCUAGUUGGUAAGGUAACGGCUUACCAAGGCAACGAUGCAUAGCCGACCUGAGAGGGUGAUCGGCCACACUGGAACUGAGACACGGUCCAGACUCCUACGGGAGGCAGCAGUAGGGAAUCUUCCGCAAUGGGCGAAAGCCUGACGGAGCAACGCCGCGUGAGUGAUGAAGGUCUUCGGAUCGUAAAACUCUGUUAUUAGGGAAGAACAUGUGUGUAAGUAACUGUGCACAUCUUGACGGUACCUAGUCAGAAAGCCACGGCUAACUACGUG